GACGAACGCUGGCGGCGUGCUUAACACAUGCAAGUCGAACGGAAAGGCUCCAGCUUGCUGGAGUACUCGAGUGGCGAACGGGUGAGUAACACGUGGGUAAUCUGCCCUGCACUCUGGGAUAAGCCUGGGAAACUGGGUCUAAUACUGGAUAUGACCUUUCUCCUUAUGGGGUUUGGUGGAAAGUUUUUCGGUGUAGGAUGAGCCCGCGGCCUAUCAGCUUGUUGGUGGGGUGAUGGCCUACCAAGGCGACGACUGGUAGCCGGCCUGAGAGGGUGAUCGGCCACAUUGGGACUGAGAUACGGCCCAGACUCCUACGGGAGGCAGCAGUGGGGAAUAUUGCACAAUGGGCGGAAGCCUGAUGCAGCGACGCCGCGUGAGGGAUGACGGCCUUCGGGUUGUAAACCUCUUUCAGCAGGGACGAAGCGUAAGUGACGGUACCUGCAGAAGAAGCACCGGCUAACUACGUG
This 467-nucleotide ribosomal RNA is filed under the name uncultured bacterium. Its description in RNAcentral is "partial 16S ribosomal RNA". It matches the Rfam family "Bacterial small subunit ribosomal RNA", at positions 28 to 507 of the family's 1533-position model. The record is from RNAcentral.